GUGACGCCCGCUCCGUCCGCUCCUCGUGUGUGCCACGCCCCCUAAUUACCCACGUGUGAUUUCCUGAUCGUGCCCAGUCGUGUCUUGUUUCCUGCUGCCUUGUUUCAUGUAUUUAAGUUCCUGAUUUGUACUAACCCGUGUCUGUCAUUGAUGUUACCCAGCGUUUGUCCGUGCCUGUCCCUAGUAAACUCCCGUUUUGCCCCGUAUUCUGCUUGUCUGCCUGUCCUUGCCCGCCUGCACGCACGAUCGCCGCUUCGCUCAACCGCGACGUGUGACAACAUGCUAAUUGCUAUGCCGUUCCCUAUGUAAUGAGGUGGAACUGGAGGGUGCGAUCUUGUUGGGGCAUGGUAAUUUCAUUAACCUGAUUGCUUAAUUGUUGCGGCCAGCGUGUGUAUUCGGGUACGUAGUCGGGUUGUCCAUUUCCGUAUUCUCUCGCUGGCCAAAAAAAGGAGAAUACAACCAUAAGACUGCUCUCAUAGCCAUUUGUCCAGAAGUGCGUGCACAGUUUGCACCCAACGUUACCAUGCAGUGGCCAGCGUCAGUAGUCUGAAGGCCUCGCUCGUCAAAGCGGAGGAGUUGUGAGCGCAAAUGGAAGGCAGCUCAUUUCCCACAAGGACCUGGACACGUGAUUCCAUUCCAGCUGGACCAGGAUUAUUAUUCAUUGAGAUCCGUACUCUCUGUUCCACCGCUCACCUGGAUUCCUCCUUCCGGGGCAGAGAAGAACAGGUGUUGACCCAGAAGAUGCAAAGAGUAGCCGUGAUGCUCUCCGAGAGUAAAGCAUGUGGGCAGGUUGCCUCUGAACAGUUGGGUUUUUUGUCUGCUAAAAGCACUCUGCUUUCCCCAUCAGCUGGCAGUGCACAAAGGACAAAGCGGGAAGUCCAAAUGGCAAGGAGCCGGUGUCCCAGAGAACAUAUCUGACUGACUGUCUGGAUUUUACACAAGGAGCCUGACUGCAGCUGAGCUUUCAAUGGGAUGGCAGUGUGGUAUUUUGGGUGUGAUGAAAGGUUGGAGCUAGAUAGCAAUUAAGGUUUAGUAAACAUGCAGUCGGGCAUCAUCUUACCACCAAGAGAGUAAGAAAGAGCUGGAAAUGCCAGACAGGAAAACCGGCAUGGAAGGACAAAAGGGGUUCUGUGCUAAAAAAUGUUCAGUGCAGUCCGGUGUGCAGGCACUCGGAUGCUCACGUCGUCAUCCCCUCCCCAACAAACAUCACAUGGCACAAAUAACCCGAACCAUGAUUACAAAGAAGGAUUGUUAACUUGAUAGUCGCAGGUGCUGGAAUCCAGUCGGAAUUCCUGACAGUCAUGCUAAGCUUGUGCUUUUCUCUCAUCUCAGUAAAAUUUGCUGGUAAAUUUUGCUCUGGGCCCCCAGCCUCCUCUGCAACUGGUUUUAGUGGUGUAAUUAGUUUUCUCUUCUGGCAAAAUGAGACACAGGUUGUGCACUGUCUGUUAAAGGCAUUUAUGCUGAGUCCACACUGCUGGUCCUCUGUAGGAGCUGAGGAGGCACGCUGUUGGCACGAUGCCCAUCGAGGUUGGCGACGGGUUCUCCCGUUACAGGUCAGCUGAGGUUUCGGCGCUGAUGCCGUCACAUGAUAGUUGGCUGAAGACUCACACUAGUACAUAUUUGUUUUUUGUGAGACACGUCUUGUCUUGUGGGAGCUCACUGGCACCAAGUACAAUGUCAAUAUCUUCAAAUUAAUGAUCCGUAAAUAAAUUAUUCUUUUACCCUCUAACCCAUCCUUGAAGACUAAAUUAGGCUAUAAAAAGGCAGAGAGAUUAUGGCGGGGAAAAAAAAAAUCACUUCAGACAAAGGCAGGGAAGCCAUGGAAAGACAAUAU
This is a long non-coding RNA of Brienomyrus brachyistius, 1834 nucleotides long. RefSeq lists it as uncharacterized. The record is from RefSeq and is a predicted model, not a curated record. The transcript has 6 exons. NCBI's taxonomy places the organism in Eukaryota, Metazoa, Chordata, Actinopteri, Osteoglossiformes, Mormyridae.